AAAAGAAAGAAGCAGAAGCUUGCAGCUAAAUGUGGACAUCAUUAUCACAUUUUUAGUGACUGACUUUCCGGACGAGAGAAGAAACCUCAUGUGCCCUGCUUCAAAUGCUGCUGUUUACCUUUCAUAACUGCCUGAAUCAACAAGAUGGAUAAAUAUUUUUCUGUCAUGAUGGGAUGAGAGAAAGAUGGAAAGAACAACAUGUGACAGAGAAUUGAUGCCAAACUGGGAAAAAAAGUUAAAUGGAACUCAGAAGGAG
Molecule: long non-coding RNA, 256 nt
Filed under: Gallus gallus (chicken)
Lineage: Eukaryota; Metazoa; Chordata; Aves; Galliformes; Phasianidae
Source: RNAcentral